AGAGUUUGAUCAUGGCUCAGGACGAACGCUGGCGGCGUGCCUAAUACAUGCAAGUAGAACGCUGACUACUUUAGCUUGCUAGAGUAGAAGGAGUUGCGAACGGGUGAGUAACGCGUAGGUAACCUGCCUACUAGCGGGGGAUAACUAUUGGAAACGAUAGCUAAUACCGCAUAACAGUGUUUAACACAUGUUAGAUGCUUGAAAGAUGCAAAUGCAUCACUAGUAGAUGGACCUGCGUUGUAUUAGCUAGUUGGUGGGGUAACGGCCUACCAAGGCGACGAUACAUAGCCGACCUGAGAGGGUGAUCGGCCACACUGGGACUGAGACACGGCCCAGACUCCUACGGGAGGCAGCAGUAGGGAAUCUUCGGCAAUGGGGGCAACCCUGACCGAGCAACGCCGCGUGAGUGAAGAAGGUUUUCGGAUCGUAAAGCUCUGUUGUAAGAGAAGAACGUGUGUGAGAGUGGAAAGUUCACACAGUGAUGGUAACUUACCAGAAAGGGACGGCUAACUACGUGCCAGCAGCCGCGGUAAUACGUAGGUCCCGAGCGUUGUCCGGAUUUAUUGGGCGUAAAGCGAGCGCAGGCGGUUUAAUAAGUCUGAAGUUAAAGGCAGUGGCUUAACCAUUGUUUCGCUUUGGAAACUGUUAAACUUGAGUGCAGAAGGGGAGAGUGGAAUUCCAUGUGUAGCGGUGAAAUGCGUAGAUAUAUGGAGGAACACCGGUGGCGAAAGCGGCUCUCUGGUCUGUAACUGACGCUGAGGCUCGAAAGCGUGGGGAGCAAACAGGAUUAGAUACCCUGG
This 800-nucleotide ribosomal RNA is filed under the name uncultured bacterium. RNAcentral describes it as "bacterial SSU rRNA". It matches the Rfam family "Bacterial small subunit ribosomal RNA", at positions 8 to 790 of the family's 1533-position model. The record is from RNAcentral.